CUGUCAUAUCGUUGCAUGUGUUAUAGUUAUAUUUCUUUACUUUUUUCUUGAUUUAUAGGUUAUGAUUGAUUUUAAUUUCUUCUUAUUCUUUUUCUUUUCUUGAAAGGACAGUGGUGAUAGGAUUACUUUUCUCAUCUGGAAUAGGAUAAUAUGGUUAUGAUAAAGGAAAUGGAAAUGUCACUUGAGAGGAAUAUAAGUUGUUUAAAUGAAUUGUUUCAGUAAUUAAAAUGAAGGGCAGUGUCCAAACGUCAUUAAAUCAUAUUCAUAAUGGAUUAUUAUAUUAAAAUAUAAAUGCCAAAUCUACAACAGUUACAAGAUUGUAAGUAUAUCUUAAAUAUGUAUUUCCUAUCUAUCGCCUUGUUGUUUUAAUUAUUAUUAUUAUUAUUAAUAUUAUAAUAUAUACACCACAAUAAAGUGGUGAAAGAGUUCAAUAAUUUUUAUAUUACUGAUCCCCUUGUUUAUAAUGCACAGAAUUCAUCUCCUUUUUCUUUUCUAUACCAUAACCAAAGUUUUAACGUCAUAUAUACUUUUUCUAAUAUUAUAUAUAUUAAAAACAACAUGGCAUAAAUUAAAUAGAAUAAUAUAGAUAUAUCAUGGUUAUGGAUAAAAACUGUAUUACUAAAAACUAAAGAUUUGUUUCAAAUGUCAAAAUGUUUUUUUUUUUUUUUUUAUAAAUAAAUGUAUUAAACAUCAUACUUUGUGAAAA
Polistes dominula (European paper wasp) is the source of this 706-nucleotide long non-coding RNA. RefSeq lists it as uncharacterized. Lineage: Eukaryota; Metazoa; Arthropoda; Insecta; Hymenoptera; Vespidae. The record is from RefSeq and is a predicted model, not a curated record.